UUAGAUACCCGGUAAGUCCUAGCCGUAACGAUGGGCACUAGUGUGGGGGNAAUUGACCCUUUCCGUGCCGCAGCUAACGCAUUAAGUGCCCGCUGGGAAGUACGUUCGCAAGACUAAACUCAAGGGAAUUGACGGGGGCCGCACAAGCGGUGGAGCAUGUGGUUUAAUUCGACGCAACGCGAAGAACCUUACCUGGGUUUGACACCUGCGACGACACCAGAGAUGUUGUUUUCCUUCGGGACGCAGUGACAGGUGCUGCAUGGCUGUCGUCAGCUCGUGUCGUGAGAUGUUGGGUUAAGUCCCGCAACGAGCGCAACCCAUGCCCUUAGUUGCCAGCGAGUAAUGUCGGGAACUCUAGGGGGACUGCCGGUGACAAACCGGAGGAAGGUGUGGAUGACGUCAAGUCCUCAUGGCCUUUAUAUCCAGGGCUACACACGUGCUACAAUGGCCGGUACAAAGGUCGCAAUCCCGCGAGGGGGAGCCAAUCCCAAAAAACCGGUCUCAGUUCGGAUUGCAGGCUGCAAUUCGCCUGCAUGAAGGUGGAAUCGCUAGUAAUCCCGGAUCAGCAUGCCGGGGUGAAUACGUUCCCGGGCCUUGUACACACCGCCCGUCACACCACGAAAGCCAGUUGUACCAGAAGUCGCUGGGCCAACCCGCAAGGGAGGUAGGUGCCGAAGGUAUGGCCGGUGAUUGGGGUGAAGUCGUAACAAGGUA
Molecule: ribosomal RNA, 714 nt
Filed under: uncultured delta proteobacterium Sva0501
Lineage: Bacteria; Deltaproteobacteria
Description: bacterial SSU rRNA
Rfam family: Bacterial small subunit ribosomal RNA
Source: RNAcentral